AUUGAACGCUGGCGGCAGGCUUAACACAUGCAAGUCGAGCGGGGUGAUGGUGCUUGCACUAUCACUUAGCGGCGGACGGGUGAGUAAUGCUUAGGAAUCUGCCUAUUAGUGGGGGACAACAUCUCGAAAGGGAUGCUAAUACCGCAUACGUCCUACGGGAGAAAGCAGGGGAUCACUUGUGACCUUGCGCUAAUAGAUGAGCCUAAGUCGGAUUGGCUAGUUGGUGGGGUAAAGGCCUACCAAUGCGACGAUCUGUAGCGGGUCUGAGAGGAUGAGACGGCAAACUAGGACUGGGCAAAUGCCCAGAAUACUACGGGAGGGAGCAGUGGGGAAUAUUUGACAAUGGGGGGAAGUCUGAUCCAGCCAUGCCGCGUGUGUGAAGAAGGGCUUAUGGUUUUAAAGCACUUUAAGCGAGGAGGAGGCUCUUUUGGUUAAUACCCAAGAUGAGUGGACGUUACUCGCAGAAUAAGCACCGGCUAACACUGUGCCAGCCGCCGCGGUAA
RNAcentral lists this ribosomal RNA (503 nucleotides) under uncultured bacterium. RNAcentral describes it as "partial 16S ribosomal RNA". It matches the Rfam family "Bacterial small subunit ribosomal RNA", at positions 30 to 523 of the family's 1533-position model. The record is from RNAcentral.